This 2916-nucleotide ribosomal RNA is filed under the name Vibrio parahaemolyticus. Its description in RNAcentral is "23S ribosomal RNA". It matches the Rfam family "Bacterial large subunit ribosomal RNA". Lineage: Bacteria; Pseudomonadati; Pseudomonadota; Gammaproteobacteria; Vibrionales; Vibrionaceae. The record is from RNAcentral.
GUUGUAUGGUUAAGUGACUAAGCGUACACGGUGGAUGCCUUGGCAGUCAGAGGCGAUGAAAGACGUAGUAACUUGCGAUAAGCCCAGAUUAGGUAGUAACAACCAUUUGAGUCUGGGAUUUCUGAAUGGGGAAACCCACGUGCAUAAGCACGUAUCCUUACCUGAAUACAUAGGGUAAGGAGGCGAACCGGGGAAACUGAAACAUCUAAGUACCCCGAGGAAAAGAAAUCAACCGAGAUUCCGAAAGUAGCGGCGAGCGAAAUUGGACUAGCCCUUAAGCUUUACACGCGUUAGACGAACGGUCUGGAAAGUCCGACGAUACAGGGUGAUAGUCCCGUAGUUGACGACGUGUGUUCAGUGAAAUCGAGUAGGGCGGGACACGUGAUAUCCUGUCUGAAUAUGGGGGGACCAUCCUCCAAGGCUAAAUACUACUGACUGACCGAUAGUGAACCAGUACCGUGAGGGAAAGGCGAAAAGAACCCCUGUGAGGGGAGUGAAAUAGAACCUGAAACCGUGUACGUACAAGCAGUAGGAGCAGGCUUUGUCCUGUGACUGCGUACCUUUUGUAUAAUGGGUCAGCGACUUAUAUUCAGUGGCAAGGUUAACCAUCUAGGGGAGCCGUAGGGAAACCGAGUCUUAACUGGGCGUUCAGUCUCUGGAUAUAGACCCGAAACCAGGUGAUCUAGCCAUGGGCAGGUUGAAGGUUGAGUAACAUCAACUGGAGGACCGAACCGACUAAUGUUGAAAAAUUAGCGGAUGACUUGUGGCUAGGGGUGAAAGGCCAAUCAAACCUGGAGAUAGCUGGUUCUCCCCGAAAGCUAUUUAGGUAGCGCCUCGGACGAAUACUACUGGGGGUAGAGCACUGUUAAGGCUAGGGGGUCAUCCCGACUUACCAACCCUUUGCAAACUCCGAAUACCAGUAAGUACUAUCCGGGAGACACACGGCGGGUGCUAACGUCCGUCGUGGAGAGGGAAACAACCCAGACCGCCAGCUAAGGUCCCAAAUUACUACUAAGUGGGAAACGAUGUGGGAAGGCUCAGACAGCCAGGAUGUUGGCUUAGAAGCAGCCAUCAUUUAAAGAAAGCGUAAUAGCUCACUGGUCGAGUCGGCCUGCGCGGAAGAUGUAACGGGGCUAAGUAGUAAACCGAAGCUGCGGCAAUGUGCUUUUGCACAUUGGGUAGGGGAGCGUUCUGUAAGCGGUUGAAGGUGUGUGGUAACGCAUGCUGGACGUAUCAGAAGUGCGAAUGCUGACAUGAGUAACGAUAAAGGGGGUGAAAAACCUCCUCGCCGGAAGACCAAGGGUUCCUGUCCAACGUUAAUCGGGGCAGGGUAAGUCGACCCCUAAGGCGAGGCCGAAAGGCGUAGUCGAUGGGAAACGGGUUAAUAUUCCCGUACUUCUUACAAUUGCGAUGGGGGGACGGAGAAGGCUAGGUGGGCCUGGCGACGGUUGUCCAGGUUCAAGUGCGUAGGCUUAAGAGUUAGGUAAAUCCGGCUCUUUUUAAGGCUGAGACACGACGUCGAGCAUCUACGGAUGUGAAGUCAUUGAUGCCAUGCUUCCAGGAAAAGCCUCUAAGCUUCAGAUUGUAAGGAAUCGUACCCCAAACCGACACAGGUGGUCGGGUAGAGAAUACCAAGGCGCUUGAGAGAACUCGGGUGAAGGAACUAGGCAAAAUGGUACCGUAACUUCGGGAGAAGGUACGCUCUCGACGGUGAAGUCCCUCGCGGAUGGAGCUAUUGAGAGUCGCAGAUACCAGGUGGCUGCAACUGUUUAUUAAAAACACAGCACUGUGCAAAAUCGUAAGAUGACGUAUACGGUGUGACGCCUGCCCGGUGCCGGAAGGUUAAUUGAUGGGGUUAGACUUCGGUCGAAGCUCUUGAUCGAAGCCCCGGUAAACGGCGGCCGUAACUAUAACGGUCCUAAGGUAGCGAAAUUCCUUGUCGGGUAAGUUCCGACCUGCACGAAUGGCGUAAUGAUGGCCACGCUGUCUCCACCCGAGACUCAGUGAAAUUGAAAUCGCUGUGAAGAUGCAGUGUACCCGCGGCUAGACGGAAAGACCCCGUGAACCUUUACUACAGCUUGGCACUGAACAUUGACCCUACAUGUGUAGGAUAGGUGGGAGGCUUUGAAGCACGUACGCCAGUAUGUGUGGAGCCGUCCUUGAAAUACCACCCUUGUAGUGUUGAUGUUCUAACGUCGACCCCUUAUCGGGGUUGCGGACAGUGCCUGGUGGGUAGUUUGACUGGGGCGGUCUCCUCCCAAAGAGUAACGGAGGAGCACGAAGGUGGGCUAAUCACGGUUGGACAUCGUGAGGUUAGUGCAAUGGCAUAAGCCCGCUUGACUGCGAGAAUGACAAUUCGAGCAGGUGCGAAAGCAGGUCAUAGUGAUCCGGUGGUUCUGAAUGGAAGGGCCAUCGCUCAACGGAUAAAAGGUACUCCGGGGAUAACAGGCUGAUACCGCCCAAGAGUUCAUAUCGACGGCGGUGUUUGGCACCUCGAUGUCGGCUCAUCACAUCCUGGGGCUGAAGUCGGUCCCAAGGGUAUGGCUGUUCGCCAUUUAAAGUGGUACGCGAGCUGGGUUUAGAACGUCGUGAGACAGUUCGGUCCCUAUCUGCCGUGGGCGUUGGAAGAUUGAAGGGGGCUGCUCCUAGUACGAGAGGACCGGAGUGGACGAACCUCUGGUGUUCGGGUUGUGUCGCCAGACGCAUUGCCCGGUAGCUAAGUUCGGAAUCGAUAACCGCUGAAAGCAUCUAAGCGGGAAGCGAGCCCUGAGAUGAGUCUUCCCUGAUACUUUAAGUAUCCUAAAGGGUUGUCGGAGACUACGACGUUGAUAGGUCAGGUGUGUAAGUGCUGUGAGGCAUUGAGCUAACUGAUACUAAUUGCCCGUGAGGCUUAACCAUACAACACCCAAGGGGUUU